RNAcentral lists this ribosomal RNA (2225 nucleotides) under human gut metagenome. RNAcentral describes it as "bacterial LSU rRNA". It matches the Rfam family "Bacterial large subunit ribosomal RNA", at positions 3 to 2317 of the family's 2925-position model. The record is from RNAcentral.
UUAAGCUAAUAAGAGCGCAGGGAGGAUGCCUUGGCAUCAGGAGCCGAUGAAGGACGCGGUAAGCUGCGAAAAGCUCCGGGGAGUGGCAAGCACACAUUGAUCCGGAGAUGUCCGAAUGGAGCAAUCCACAUGAGUGAAGCUCAUGUAUCAUAUACUGAAUAAAUAGGUAUAUGAGGGGAACCGUCUGAACUGAAACAUCUAAGUAGGACGAGGAAAAGAAAUCAACCGAGAUUCCGCUAGUAGUGGCGAGCGAACGCGGAAGAGGCUAAACCAGAGUCAGCAAUGACUUUGGGGUUUGGACUGCAUUUAGUAUCAAUGAGGUCUAGUCGAAGUACAUGGGAAGGUACAUCGAAGAGGGUGAGAAUCCCGUAGACGAAAGAUCAAGUUGGCGAGCAGUAUCCAGAGUACCGCCGGACACGUGAAACCCGGUGGGAACAUGGGGGGACCAUCCUCCAAGCCUAAAUACUACCUGAUGACCGAUAGCGCAUAGUACUGUGAAGGAAAGGUGAAAAGAACCCCGGGAGGGGAGUGAAAGAGAGCCUGAAACCCUGUGCUUACAAGCACACAGAGCACGUCAAAGUGUGAUGUGGUACCUAUUGUAGAAUGGUCCGGCGAGUUAUUUUAUGCAGCGAGGUUAAGGACUUAAGGUCUGUAGCCGAAGUGAAAGCGAGUGUUAAUAGCACGAAACAGUUGCAUGCAAUAGACCCGAAACCGGGUGACCUAUCCAUGUCCAGGCUGAAGUGAGGGUAAAACCUCAUGGAGGGCCGAACCGACUCCCGUUGAAAUGGUAGCGGAUGAGGUGUGGAUAGCGGAGAAAUUCCAAUCGAACCCGGAUAUAGCUGGUUCUCCCCGAAACCGUUUUAGGACGGGCCUCGUGUGAAGAUUAUCGGAGGUAAAGCACUGAAUAGCCUAGGGGGCGAGAGCCUACCGAAGCUUAUCAAACUCUGAAUGCCGAAUAAUCGUUUCACGGGAGUCAGACUGUGUGAGAUAAGUUUCAUAGUCAAAAGGGAAACAGCCCAGACCCACAGCUAAGGUCCCAAAGUGUAUUUAAGUGGAAAACGAUGUGAAGUUGCGUAGACAACCAGGAUGUUGGCUUAGAAGCAGCCACUCAUUAAAAGAGUGCGUAAUAGCUCACUGGUCGAGUGACUUUGCGCGGAAAAUUUAACGGGGCUAAAAUACACACCGAAGCUUGGGCUUGACGCUUUUGCGUCAGGGGUAGGGGAGCGUCGUGUAAGGGGCGAAGUCGUAUCGUAAGGGACGGUGGACUUUACACGAGUGAGAAUGCCGGAAUGAGUAGCGAGAAUUAUGUGAGAAUCAUAAUGGUCGAAAGCCUAAGGUUUUUGGAGGAAGGUUCGUCCGCUCCAAGUAAGCCGGGAGCUAAGGUCAGGCGGAAACGCGUAGCCGAUGCACAUACGGUUGAAAUUCCGUAGCCUCAGAAAGAUUUAAGCGAAGGGACACUUUGAAAGGACUGUAGCCGGGUGUUGGUUACCCCGGUCGUAAGGGAACGAAAUUAAGUAGUGAAGGCAGUCUGGACGGAGGCGAGAAAAGCUUCGUGUAUAUCUUAUGAGCCCGUACCGCAAACCGACACAGGUAGGUGGGAUGAGAAUUCUAAGACCAACGGGAGAAGGGUAGUUAAGGAACUCGGCAAAUUGUCCCCGUAACUUCGGAAUAAGGGGAGCCUGCGAAAGCAGGCCGCAGAGAAUUGGCCCAGGCGACUGUUUAUCAAAAACACAGCUCUAUGCUAAAUCGAAAGAUGACGUAUAUGGGGUGACACCUGCCCGGUGCUGGAAGGUUAAGAGGAGAUGUGAGAGCAUCGAAUUGAAGCCCCAGUAAACGGCGGCCGUAACUAUAACGGUCCUAAGGUAGCGAAAUUCCUUGUCAGGUAAGUUCUGACCCGCACGAAUGGUGUAACGAUCUGGGCACUGUCUCGACUACCCGCCCGGCGAAAUUGUAGUACCGGUGAAGAUGCCGGUUACCCGCGACUAGACGGAAAGACCCCAUGGAGCUUUACUGUAGCUUAAUAUUGGAUUUCGGCAGUUCAUGUACAGGAUAGGUGGGAGACUAUGAAACACGGGCGUCAGCUUGUGCGGAGUCGUCCUUGGGAUACCACUCUUGGAUUGCUGGAAUUCUAACCUGCGGCCCUGAAUCGGGUCGGGGGACAUUGUUAGGUGGGCAGUUUGACUGGGGCGGUCGCCUCCAAAAGAGUAACGGAGGCGCUCAAAGGU